This 450-nucleotide ribosomal RNA is filed under the name uncultured bacterium. RNAcentral's name for it is "partial 16S ribosomal RNA". It matches the Rfam family "Bacterial small subunit ribosomal RNA", at positions 354 to 796 of the family's 1533-position model. The record is from RNAcentral.
GUGGGGAAUUUUGGACAAUGGGCGCAAGCCUGAUCCAGCAAUGCCGCGUGCAGGAAGAAGGCCUUCGGGUUGUAAACUGCUUUUGUACGGAACGAAAAGGCUCUGGUUAAUACCUGGGGCUCAUGACGGUACCGUAAGAAUAAGCACCGGCUGACUACGUGCCAGCAGCCGCGGUAAUACGUAGGGUGCAAGCGUUACUCGGAAUUACUGGGCGUAAAGCGUGCGCAGGCGGUUUUGUAAGACAGACGUGAAAUCCCCGGGCUCAACCGGGGAAUGGCGUUUGUGACUGCAAAGCUGGAGUGCGGCAGAGGGAGAUGGAAUUCCGCGUGUAGCAGUGAAAUGCGUAGAUAUGCGGAGGAACACCGAUGGCGAAGGCAAUCCCCUGGGCCUGCACUGACGCUCAUGCACGAAAGCGUGGGGAGCAAACAGGAUUAGAAACCCGAGUAGUCC